Molecule: ribosomal RNA, 405 nt
Filed under: Platynereis agilis
Lineage: Eukaryota; Metazoa; Annelida; Polychaeta; Phyllodocida; Nereididae
Description: partial 16S ribosomal RNA
Rfam family: Bacterial large subunit ribosomal RNA
Source: RNAcentral
GUGCAAAGGUAGCAUAAUCAUUUGCUUUUUAAUUGAAGGCUAGUAUGAAAGGACACACAAGGAAUAAAACUGUCUCUCUUAAAUUAAAUAUAAACUGAUAAUUAGGUGAAGAAGCCUAAAUUAUAAUAAAGGACAAAAAGACCCUAUAGAGCUUUACUGGCUAGAGUAUUGUACUCAAUAUCAGGUUGGUUGGGACAACCAAAAGACAUUAUCACCUCUUUUUAAAAUUAUAAAAUACUUACCCAAUAAUGUAUAAAAAAUAGCUACCUUAGGGAUAACAGGCUAAUCCCACUAGAGAGAUCACAUUGACAGUGGGGGUUGGCACCUCGAUGUUGGCUUAGUGUAACUAUUAGGCGCAGUCGCCUAAUAAGUUGGUUUGUUCAACCAUUAAAUCACUACGUGAUC